RNAcentral lists this ribosomal RNA (403 nucleotides) under uncultured bacterium. RNAcentral's name for it is "bacterial SSU rRNA". It matches the Rfam family "Bacterial small subunit ribosomal RNA", at positions 32 to 424 of the family's 1533-position model. The record is from RNAcentral.
AAUCAACGCUGGCGGCGUGCCUCAGACAUGCAAGUCGAACGAUUAAAGCUCCCUUCGGGGAGUGCAUAGAGUGGCGCACGGGUGAGUAACACGUAAGUAAUCUACCCUCGGAUGGGGAAUAACAGUCGGAAACGACUGCUAAUACCGCAUAAUGCAGCGGCACCGCAAGGUGACAGUUGUUAAAGGAGCAAUCCGUCGUGGGGAGGAGCUUGCGGCAGAUUAGCUUGUUGGUAAGGUAACGGCUUACCAAGGCUACGAUCUGUAUCCGGUCUAAGAGGACGGUCGGACACACUGACACUGAAUAACGGGUCAGACUCCUACGGGAGGCAGCAGUCGGGAAUUUUGGGCAAUGGGCGAAAGCCUGACCCAGCAACGCCGCGUGAAGGAUGAAGUAUUUCGGUAU